This 77-nucleotide transfer RNA is filed under the name bacterium. Its description in RNAcentral is "tRNA-Met". It matches the Rfam family "tRNA". From Rfam's summary of the family: Transfer RNA (tRNA) molecules are approximately 80 nucleotides in length. RNAcentral also lists the same sequence under 1 other name. The record is from RNAcentral.
GGCUGGGUAGCUCAGUUGGUUAGAGCGCGGGACUCAUAAGCCCGAGGUCGUGGGUUCAAUUCCCACCCCCGCCACCA